This 1058-nucleotide long non-coding RNA is filed under the name Bos indicus x Bos taurus (hybrid cattle). RNAcentral describes it as "lncRNA (ENSBIXG00005019491.1)". The record is from RNAcentral. Lineage: Eukaryota; Metazoa; Chordata; Mammalia; Artiodactyla; Bovidae.
CGAUCUUUCUGGCCAAUCAGGAGACACGUCCUCCGGCGCGCUCCUUUCCUGCCCCGCCCCCUCCCGUCUCCAUGGGAACGUUCUGAGUGUCCAGUCCCAGGCCUGAGGCUUUGGUUUUGGUCAAACAGGGUGGCAGAUGUUGUUUGGACGGAGUAUUUGAGUUGGUUCCUGUUCCUCUCCAGAGGCUCCGUAGGUGACGCGGACUCUCAGGAGCACCGAACCAGAAGCAGACAAGGACGAGAAGAGCUGUGGCGGAAGAGGGAGGGCCAGGUGUCGAGAAGUCGUUCAGGCUUAGAAAUCUCGGACUCCAGUGAAGGGACCUGUGAUCAGCAAGGGAGGACCAGAGUGUCAAAGACUAAUGCCCCCAUUUUACAGCUCAGCCUUCUCAACACUCCACCCUUCCCUAGAAAAGGAGCACAAAGGAGGAAAGAAUGGUCACUCUUUCCCUCACAGUCUGAUCCUGGAAGAUAUCAUUCCAGCAAGAAGACCAUCAUUUAGUCUGCGGCAGAAUAUGAGGGGCUUCCCUGGUGGCUCAGCGGUAAAGAAUUCGCCUGAAAUACAGGAGCUGCAGGAACCGCAGUUUUGAUCCCUGCGUCAGGAUGAUCCCCUGGAGGGGUCUUGCCAGGAGAAUCCCAUGGACAGAGGAGUUUGGCAGGAUCAGUCCAUAGCGUCACGAAUAGACAGGACUGAAGUGACUUAGCACACAUGCACAUGGAAAGAUAAGUAUAUAUAAAAAAGUUCGAAUCAUGAUAGAUAGGCUCCAUGAGGGCAGAGAAUGUUCCCAGUAUCUAGAACAAUGCCUGGCAUAUAGUAAGCACUCAAUGAAUAGCUGUUGAAUAUGUGAAUGGCUGUUAUAUGUUUCAUUUUUUCAUUUAACAUAUGAAGUGGACAUUUUUCCAAGUAUGUUUUGGUAGCAUGAGUUUUAAUGGCUAUAUAAUCUUUCAUUCCAAGUGUAUACCAUGCUUUAUUUAAAUUUUCUUUUAUUGGGAAAAACUUAAGUAUUUCCCAAUAUUUUGCUAUUAUAAGCAACUUCCAAUAAAUAUUCUUAUAAUUUAUCA